This is a long non-coding RNA of Anopheles arabiensis, 979 nucleotides long. RefSeq lists it as uncharacterized. The record is from RefSeq and is a predicted model, not a curated record. NCBI's taxonomy places the organism in Eukaryota, Metazoa, Arthropoda, Insecta, Diptera, Culicidae. The transcript is spliced from 2 exons.
UGCGACACCGUUUCGGUGAUCACACAGUUGGCGGUGACUUGAAGUGCCACGAACUGAAGCGACAUCAAAAUGGCACGAAAUCCACUUUUGAAAUUCCCGGCAGAAGGAAGUGAGAACACAAAUACACACACACACACACACACACACACACACACAGACCACCGGAGCCUGCAUGCUGUCAAUCACAAGCGCUGCUCAAUCGAAUUGAAAGGGACACGAAAGUGGUGCGAAAUUUUCAAUUCCCAUCCGUCCGUCCGGUGGGAGAGCGUGUUGGGAAGAGGGAAGAAGAGGAAGGUGAGUUCCUCGCUCGAAAGCAGCUUUUCCCAUUUCCAGUAUGCAAAGCGAGUCGCGAUCGCGAUGUUUGUGGCCAAACAAAGGCAUGAAAAAUCGCCCGCUUCCAGGCGGAAGCAUAAAUCCAAUCAAUGGUUCAUCAUCAAUUUUUCGCCAGCAUCCGCACGGACAAACACACACACACAUAUGGACCUUUCUACCCGUUUUAGGUUGCUUUGGGAAUAGAACUCUACAUGAUGUAAAACAAACAAACAUUCCAAAUUGGUGCACAAGGCCAACACAAUGGUCCAUCAGCGAAGCAUUAUGAUUUGUGAUAACAUUAAUCAAUGGAGACUCGCUUGAAUAUUAAACAAUGGAAUUAGUCCACACAAGAGGGGAGGAUAAUAUUCUCAUGGAUAAACUCCCGCCCCAAUCUCCCACAUCUUGACCAGCAGCUCCAUUGUUGACACGGGGCUCUUUGACCGGGCAUUAAGUCCAUCAGGAAGGGUCAAUUGUCACUAAAGCAUAAGUUGCUUACAUAAACACAACAGCCGCGCCAAUGUGACACUGCGUAAUCGAAUCGAAUAGAGCUGAGCCCGUUGGAAGGCCCGUUUCUUCAUUAGAAUUAAUUUCCCCAAUGCAUUCUUGCUUGAUAAGCAUUUGGAGGAUCUAGUGAGCCCGUGGCAUAAAAAAACUGUUCCCGAAUUAA